This 1981-nucleotide ribosomal RNA is filed under the name Burkholderia cenocepacia. Its description in RNAcentral is "bacterial LSU rRNA". It matches the Rfam family "Bacterial large subunit ribosomal RNA", at positions 3 to 2033 of the family's 2925-position model. The record is from RNAcentral. Lineage: Bacteria; Pseudomonadati; Pseudomonadota; Betaproteobacteria; Burkholderiales; Burkholderiaceae.
UCAAGCGAACAAGUGCAUGUGGUGGAUGCCUUGGCGAUCACAGGCGAUGAAGGACGCGGUAGCCUGCGAAAAGCUACGGGGAGCUGGCAAACGAGCUUUGAUCCGUAGAUGUCCGAAUGGGGAAACCCGGCCCUUUUGGGUCAUCCUAGACUGAAUACAUAGGUCUAGUGAAGCGAACGCGGUGAACUGAAACAUCUAAGUAACCGCAGGAAAAGAAAUCAACCGAGAUUCCCAAAGUAGUGGCGAGCGAAAUGGGAUGAGCCUUGCACUCUUUAUUUGUAUUGUUAGCCGAACGCUCUGGAAAGUGCGGCCAUAGCAGGUGAUAGCCCUGUAGGCGAAAACAGUAUGAAAGAACUAGGUGUGCGACAAGUAGGGCGGGACACGUGAAAUCCUGUCUGAAGAUGGGGGGACCAUCCUCCAAGGCUAAAUACUCGUGAUCGACCGAUAGUGAACCAGUACCGUGAGGGAAAGGCGAAAAGAACCCCGGGAGGGGAGUGAAAUAGAUCCUGAAACCGCAUGCAUACAAACAGUCGGAGCCUCGUAAGGGGUGACGGCGUACCUUUUGUAUAAUGGGUCAGCGACUUACGUUCAGUAGCAAGCUUAACCGUAUAGGGCAGGCGUAGCGAAAGCGAGUCCGAAUAGGGCGUUCAGUUGCUGGGCGUAGACCCGAAACCAGGUGAUCUAUCCAUGGCCAGGAUGAAGGUGCGGUAACACGUACUGGAGGUCCGAACCCACUAACGUUGAAAAGUUAGGGGAUGAGCUGUGGAUAGGGGUGAAAGGCUAAACAAACCUGGAAAUAGCUGGUUCUCUCCGAAAACUAUUUAGGUAGUGCCUCGUGUCUCACCUUCGGGGGUAGAGCACUGUCAUGGUUGGGGGGUCUAUUGCAGAUUACCCCGCCAUAGCAAACUCCGAAUACCGAAGAGUGCAAUCACGGGAGACAGACAUCGGGUGCUAACGUCCGGUGUCAAGAGGGAAACAACCCAGACCGCCAGCUAAGGUCCCCAAAUAUAGCUAAGUGGGAAACGAAGUGGGAAGGCUAAAACAGUCAGGAGGUUGGCUUAGAAGCAGCCACCCUUUAAAGAAAGCGUAAUAGCUCACUGAUCGAGUCGUCCUGCGCGGAAGAUGUAACGGGGCUAAGCUAUAUACCGAAGCUGCGGAUGCGAGCUUGCUCGCAUGGUAGGAGAGCGUUCCGUAAGCCUGCGAAGGUGCCUUGUAAAGGGUGCUGGAGGUAUCGGAAGUGCGAAUGCUGACAUGAGUAGCGAUAAAGGGGGUGAAAGGCCCCCUCGCCGUAAGCCCAAGGUUUCCUACGCAACGUUCAUCGGCGUAGGGUGAGUCGGCCCCUAAGGCGAGGCAGAAAUGCGUAGCUGAUGGGAAGCAGGUCAAUAUUCCUGCACCAUUGUUAGAUGCGAUGGGGGGACGGAUCGCGGAAGGUUGUCCGGGUGUUGGAAGUCCCGGUCGCUGCAUUGGAGAAGGCGCUUAGGCAAAUCCGGGCGCGUAAUUCAAGGGUGUGGCGCGAGCUCCUUCGGGAGCGAAGCAAUUGGAAGUGGUUCCAAGAAAAGCCUCUAAGCUUCAGUCUAACGAUGACCGUACCGCAAACCGACACAGGUGGGCGAGAUGAGUAUUCUAAGGCGCUUGAGAGAACUCGGGAGAAGGAACUCGGCAAAUUGGUACCGUAACUUCGGGAUAAGUACGCCCUUGUAGCUUGACUGGCCUGCGCCAGGAGGGUGAAGGGGUUGCAAUAAACUGGUGGCUGCGACUGUUUAAUAAAAACACAGCACUCUGCAAACACGAAAGUGGACGUAUAGGGUGUGACGCCUGCCCGGUGCCGGAAGAUUAAAUGAUGGGGUGCAAGCUCUUGAUUGAAGUCCCGGUAAACGGCGGCCGUAACUAUAACGGUCCUAAGGUAGCGAAAUUCCUUGUCGGGUAAGUUCCGACCUGCACGAAUGGCGUAACGAUGGCCACACUGUCUCCUCCCGAGACU